RNAcentral lists this long non-coding RNA (206 nucleotides) under Felis catus (domestic cat). RNAcentral's name for it is "lncRNA (ENSFCAG00000050577.1)". Lineage: Eukaryota; Metazoa; Chordata; Mammalia; Carnivora; Felidae. The record is from RNAcentral.
GAUCAAUAAGUGAGGUUGUACUUUUGACUGGCUUGCAUCUUUCCUCUACCUCUAUACUCCAAGUUCCUGGCUGGCACUGGAGUUACAUCCUUAGCAUGGGCAUCAUAACCUCCAGGUGAGAUCCAGGCUUGUUUCCGGGAAGUAACCCUAACAGAAAUUCAGAAGCACGGGAGCUGCAUUCAAUUAGGACGUGGAUCCAUGAAAUG